UACGAAGGGUGCAAGCGUUAAUCGGAAUUACUGGGCGUAAAGCGCGCGUAGGUGGUUCAGUAAGUUGGAAGUGAAAUCCCCGGGCUCAACCUGGGAACUGCUUUCAAAACUGCAUGACUAGAGUACGGUAGAGGGUAGUGGAAUUUCCUGUGUAGUGGUGAAAUGCGUAGAUAUAGGAAGGAACACCAGUGGCGAAGGCGACUACCUGGACUGAUACUGACACUGAGGUGCGAAAGCGUGGGGAGCAAACAGG
This 253-nucleotide ribosomal RNA is filed under the name uncultured bacterium. Its description in RNAcentral is "partial 16S ribosomal RNA". It matches the Rfam family "Bacterial small subunit ribosomal RNA", at positions 524 to 776 of the family's 1533-position model. The record is from RNAcentral.